GCCUCCCAUCAUCUGAUGCUCAUUCAUCCUCCUCCUCCAGCAAGACCUCAAUGAGACGCUCUCCUCCAUGAUUUCAUCUUCUGUUCACCUCUGGAUGCGUAAAUGGUGGUCUUUCUUCAACGGUUACUGCCACAUUUAGCCAUAUUGUUUCCGUUUCUGAAGCGCUGUUCUCGGGUUUGGAAUUAAAUAGCGCACAAACCGAAACUGAGGAAAUAAAGGUUGACAAUGAAGCAGCAAUACAUUUGAAUCUGGAGAUAUCGACGGAUAUCUACAAAAAGGAUUAUUACGGCAAUGGAGUGGCUCUCAGUGCGUGUGCUCCUCUUCUGCCCAAGUCAACUGCCCCCUCACGCUGCUGUGCCCCUCGCCUCGUCCUCUCAGCACAUCCGGAGGAAGGACUGCCCGUCCCUGUAGGAAUGCCUGUUCGGGCCUGGCACCUGCCUCUGCCCGCGGCUGCUCCCACACCUUUUGCCAUUCCACCCCCCUCCAGCUCUCACAGGCUGCUCCAUCAUGAACGAUGAGGUCAUCAGCACUAACGCACUGGCCUGGCUGGUCUGCUCGGGAGUGUCCAUCCUGGCCAACACCUGGGGAAUCCUGAGCGUGAGCGCCAAGCAGAAGAAGUGGAAGCCUCUGGAAUUCCUCAUCUGUACCCUGGCUGGCACACACAUCCUCAACAUGGGUAUCCCUAUCACCAUGUAUUGCGUCAUUCAGCUGCGGCGACAGCACUCCAACUAUGAGUGGAACGAAGGACUCUGCAAGGUGUUUGUCUCCACCUUCUACACCCUUACCCUGGUCACCUGCUUCUCCGUCACCUCCCUGUCCUACCACCGCAUGUGGAUGGUCCGCUGGCCUGUCAACUAUAGGUUGAGUAACACCAAAAAGCAGGCUGUCCAUACUGUCAUGGGCAUCUGGAUGGUGUCGUUUAUUCUGUCAACCUUGCCUGCUGUGGGCUGGCAUGAUACCACAGAGCGCUUUUACACCCACGACAACUGUCGCUUCAUUGUGACUGAGAUCGGCUUGGGCUUUGGUGUCUGCUUCCUGCUGCUGAUCAGCGGGAGUGUAGUGAUGGGCGUCAUCUGUAUUGGAAUUGCCCUCUUCCAGACCUUUUCCAUCCAGAUGGGUCAAAAUGUAGACAAGAACAAAUUUAACGUGCCCACCAUUGUAGUGGAGGAUGCCCAGGGCAAGAGGCGUUCAUCCAUCGACGGCUCAGAGCCCCUUAAGACGUCGCUGCAGAUAACCUAUCUGAUCAGUGGAAUCGUCUUCAUAUACGACUUUCUAACUGGAUUCCCCAUAUUGGUGGUGAGCUUUGCCAGCCUGAAAUUUGACCGCUCCUACAGUUGGAUGGUCCUGUGUGUCCUCUGGUGCUCCAUAGCUCAAUCAAUCCUGCUCCCCAUGUUCCUGUGGGCUUGCGACCGCUACAGAGCAGACGUCAAGAUGGUCUGGGAGAAAUGUGUGGCCAUCAUGUCCAAUGAUGAAGUGGAUGAAGAAAACAGCCAGGAUGGAGGCAUUCAUCCGGACUUAAUAUUUGACAGACCGUUUGACUAUAGCUCUGCUGGUGAUAUCAUGACGGUAGACCGUAUUGCCAAGUACGAAUUCUCAACCUUAGAAAGGGGGUGCCCCCAGGGUUAUCCAUUGAGGGAGCUUCAGGAAGAUAAAAUGCACUAUUUGCAGUUCUCAGAACAAUGUGGAAUGUGCCCCCUACAAGAAGAUACUCCCACGACGAAACCGACAUGUGGACCACCGGCCAGAUCCCGUCUUACCUGCAUCGCUGGGGCUCCACAGAGGACAUCAUUGGCAUCCCGCAAUACAGCUCGCUGCGCCACGAGAGACAUCGGAGCAGCCCUGCGUCCUACCACGAGGAGAGCCACCCACACCGCAAAAGGAGGCGAUCCGAGGACAUGCAUUCGCUCAAGCAGAUUCCACGAGUCGAGCGUUAUGAGGGCGAUUUCAAGUGCUUUAGCCGCGACGAAGUGAUUAACUUCAUUGAUGAGACGCCACUUGCUAGUCCAAUGAGAAGCCCGCGGCGAGCCUCUACGAUCUCUCUGGUUCCAGAGACCUUCGAGCAGCACGUUGUUUUGUUGCCGCAUUUCCCGCUCACGCACUUUGAGCGCGAGCCUCAAGCGUUGAGACGCUGCUCUGAGCACGGCAAAGGAGCCACGCCAGGCGAGAUCCCUCAGGAUCCGCAGAGAAAGGCGAGGGACGGUAGCGUUGGCGAAGGCUCGGGCAUCAAGGCAUGCCCUGAGCACAAGCGUGCAUCAGAGCUUGUCCCGUUGGGACCAGGUGCAUGGACAGGGGAGCAGUCGUCUUCAAGUAUUUGGACAGGACAGGUAGAUGCAUCUGCUUGGGUGGACCAGAAGCACCUGCCAAAAGGGGAAAGCAAAGGAAGCACUAAUAGUUUUAUAAGCUCACAAUCUGCAUCGUCAGGCUAUAUGACAUCCAUAGGAUCCACGAACUAAGCGACAGUUUUAUUAGAAUAUUUUCAAGUAGAUAUGCUUAUUAGUGUUAAAGCUUUGACUAAGUGGAAUGUUUUUGUUAACUAGGAAGUGGGAUUUUUUAAGUGUGAUGAUUCUAAAUGGCAUAAGGACACCAUCGUUGGUCAAAAUACUGCCUUUCUUGACUAAGGAAUUUGGGGC
RNAcentral lists this long non-coding RNA (2630 nucleotides) under Sinocyclocheilus grahami. RNAcentral's name for it is "lncRNA (ENSSGRG00000031570.1)". Lineage: Eukaryota; Metazoa; Chordata; Actinopteri; Cypriniformes; Cyprinidae. The record is from RNAcentral.